This 71-nucleotide transfer RNA is filed under the name Flavobacteriaceae bacterium. RNAcentral describes it as "tRNA-Gln". It matches the Rfam family "tRNA". Rfam says of the family: Transfer RNA (tRNA) molecules are approximately 80 nucleotides in length. Lineage: Bacteria; Pseudomonadati; Bacteroidota; Flavobacteriia; Flavobacteriales; Flavobacteriaceae. The record is from RNAcentral. RNAcentral also lists the same sequence under 2 other names.
UGCCCCAUGGUGUAAAGGUAGCACACCGGUUUUUGGUACCGUUUGUCUUGGUUCGAAUCCAGGUGGGGCAA